GGAUUGUGGCUCAGCCAGCGGUAGAGCGCUCGCCUAGCACGGGUGGGACCUGGGUUCAAUCCUCAGCACCA
Molecule: transfer RNA, 71 nt
Filed under: Marmota monax (woodchuck)
Lineage: Eukaryota; Metazoa; Chordata; Mammalia; Rodentia; Sciuridae
Description: tRNA.Ala
Source: RNAcentral